UUCUUCAUCUCUAUAAGUACUCUUUGAUAAAAGUAAACGCAUUCUCAUGCACCCUUACAAACCCUAACAUUAUAGUUACAUUCUUUACAUGCCUGUUCACUCCUAAGAAGUCGAUGCUUAUUCUCAUGCUAGUUCCUUAAACACGAUUGACAGUGUCAGUUUUAUAGAAAUCAUUAUUCCAAUAUCCUUGAAGAUAUUCGGUUGAAGCCAAGUACCCACUCAGAACCCAUUCUGGCAUUUGUUUCUUUAAUUCUCUCCUCUAUUGGCAAAGCGUUCAUGUUGACAGUGAAGAAAUUCUUCUUCUUUUUUUUUACUUUGGAAAUACUAAUGAAGCCAUAACUCAUGAUAACCAGACCUCACGAAGAAGUUCAUACCUAGCGUUGACCGCGAUACAGGUGGUUUGGUCCAUAUGUUGGCCAUUUCCAUUUCUUGCAAGAUUUAAAGAUAGAUACGGUUGUUUAUCGAUGAUAUAACCAAGCGGUGAAUCGAGUUGUUCUAGCUCCUCAUCGCUUGUAUACCCUUUUCUUUGAAUAACAGAUGAGUUUCUAUUCAACUGGGAUUGUUUUGCACCAGCUUCGGAUGCUUUUUGAGAAACAUCAAUGGAGGAAGGAGGUUUGUAUAUGACUGGAGCAGCUGGGUAAGGGAAGCUGCUUAAAUUGUCCCCCGAUAAGCUGCGCUCUAUCAUUGCCUGCAUGGCCCGAGUCAAACGAUUAGUAAAACAGGUAACUUUUUGUAUGGAGAACACGUUUUAUCCAUAUUUAAAAAAAACUGUGACUGCAAAACACACGGAGAGUUGUGUGACGGAUCGGUUUAGGUCAAAAUGAGUAACAACUUUAAGGACAUGCCAAAAGAAGCGAGACAGGGUUAGGUGACGCACCGACACUUUUAGAAUUUUAUAAAUAAUUAGAUUGUUAAAACACAGUUAUGAAAACGGAGUUUAUAAAUAAUUAGAUUGUUAAAACACAAUUAUGAAAACGGAGUAAAUAUACCUUUAAAAAGAAAACUAUUUAUGGGAGUUUAAGCGUUUGAAUAAACUUCUAACGACUUUUGACAUGUUUACAACUUUUUUUUGAACAGCAAAGGUUACAUAACACUACUACUAAAUUACACCAAAUUUUACCACAUGCCAGGAAUUGAACCCUGGUCACUCCCCAAGAGACAAAGCCUCUACCACCCCACCAAAGUGGUGAUGGCAUUCAUCUACAACUAGUUUAGAGAACUUUACCGAUGUUAACUGUCAUUAAAAUCCAACCAGAACUGACACAAAAAAUCGGUUUAAACUGACACCUAAAUUAUAUUAAAAAAAAAACACUUUGAACAACUUUCAACUCAUUUGGCAUGUUACCUUUAACCAAUUUUUCUCUUUUUAUUUAUAUUUUAUUUUUACAUGUUAAAGAUAAAGCAUGAUAUGAAUUUGUUUAUAUAAAAUACUUGUCAACAAUAAAAGUAAACUAAAGUUAUACCUCAGCAUUUACUGCCUCCAAUACCGCACCAGGAACUGAAUCUGGACAAAAUUCAUCCGGCGUGAAGUUGCAGAGGAUUCGUUUAAGUAACGGAAGGCUGAUUGACGGGCAUACCUAU
Molecule: long non-coding RNA, 1581 nt
Filed under: Helianthus annuus (common sunflower)
Lineage: Eukaryota; Viridiplantae; Streptophyta; Magnoliopsida; Asterales; Asteraceae
Description: hypothetical non coding rna
Source: RNAcentral